UGACCUCAAAUCAGGUAGGACUACCCGCUGAACUUAAGCAUAUCAAUAAGCGGAGGAAAAGAAACUAACAAGGAUUCCCCUAGUAACUGCGAGUGAAGCGGGAAAAGCUCAAAUUUAAAAUCUGAGGGUCCUUGCGGCCUUCCGAGUUGUAAUCUAGAGAAGUGUUAUCCGCGCUGGACCGUGUACAAGUCUCCUGGAACGGAGCGUCAUAGAGGGUGAGAAUCCCGUCUUUGACACGGACUACCAGGGCUUAUGUGAUGCGCUCUCAAAGAGUCGAGUUGUUUGGGAAUGCAGCUCUAAAUGGGUGGUAAAUUCCAUCUAAAGCUAAAUAUUGGCGAGAGACCGAUAGCGAACAAGUACCGUGAGGGAAAGAUGAAAAGAACUUUGGAAAGAGAGUUAAACAGUACGUGAAAUUGUUGAAAGGGAAACGCUUGAAGUCAGUCGCGUUGUCCAGAAAUCAACCUUGCUUUUGCUUGGUGUACUUUCUGGUUAACGGGUCAGCAUCAAUUUUGACCGGUGGAUAAAGGUCAGGGGAAUGUGGCAUCUUCGGAUGUGUUAUAGCCCUUGGUUGCAUACAUCGGUUGGGAUUGAGGAACUCAGCACGCCGCAAGGCCGGGUUUUAACCACGUACGUGCUAGGAUG
RNAcentral lists this ribosomal RNA (642 nucleotides) under Tricholoma portentosum. RNAcentral's name for it is "eukaryotic LSU rRNA". It matches the Rfam family "Eukaryotic large subunit ribosomal RNA", at positions 1 to 625 of the family's 3401-position model. Lineage: Eukaryota; Fungi; Basidiomycota; Agaricomycetes; Agaricales; Tricholomataceae. The record is from RNAcentral.